This 254-nucleotide ribosomal RNA is filed under the name uncultured bacterium. RNAcentral's name for it is "partial 16S ribosomal RNA". It matches the Rfam family "Bacterial small subunit ribosomal RNA", at positions 524 to 776 of the family's 1533-position model. The record is from RNAcentral.
CACGUAGGCACCAAGCGUUGUCCGGAUUUAUUGGGCGUAAAGAGCUCGUAGGCGGUUCAGUAAGUCGGGUGUGAAAACUUUGGGCUUAACCCAAAGCGUGCAUCUGAUACUGCUGUGACUUGAGUUCGGUAGGGGAGUGGGGAAUUCCUAGUGUAGCGGUGAAAUGCGCAGAUAUUAGGAGGAACACCGGUGGCGAAGGCGCCACCCUGGGCCGAAACUGACGCUGAGGAGCGAAAGCAUAGGUAGCAAACAGG